Long non-coding RNA from Hypanus sabinus (Atlantic stingray), 1503 nucleotides. RefSeq lists it as uncharacterized. The transcript has 2 exons. The record is from RefSeq and is a predicted model, not a curated record. NCBI's taxonomy places the organism in Eukaryota, Metazoa, Chordata, Chondrichthyes, Myliobatiformes, Dasyatidae.
AUAGAAAAGUUCCAAAGCACCUCCCACCAGGCUCAAAGACGUCUCCACCCCACUGUUACAAGGCUAGUUAAUGGUUCCCUGGUGCCACAAGAUGGACACUUGCCCUCACAAUCCACCUCAUUAUGAUCUUGCACCCUAUUGGCUACGUGCCCUGCACUCUGUGACUGUGACACUUGAUCCUGCACAGUGGUUUUGAUCUGUGUGAACAGCUUUUCCCUGCGUCUCAGUACAUGGCAACAAUAUUAAACCAACACUUCCCCUCACCGAGCACGCCCAGGGAGAGGGGGAGAGAGAGAACGGAGUCGGACAGGAAUGGGUGGAGCCCUUCCCUCGGUUCUGUCGCUUAGGUCCUUAAACUUAAUACCAGAGCAGAGGAAUUAAAGAGACGAGUUUAUACAGAACCGCGCUUGCACCAAAUGUUAAACUUAACUGUAUGAUUGUGCUGAGAUUUACCGCCUGUCAUGACAGUAGACGGCCACGCAGCGAACCCUCCCCCGAACUUCAUCCCUCCAAGAACGCAUCGCUCAGUUAGCAAAUAAACAGUGUUUAUAUGUAUUUUUUUAAAAGAGAACUGUAGGUGCAGACAGCGUGAGAUUCUUCCGAGAAUGCCUCUGUCGAGUGCGACACCGGGCAACUUUGCGGAGAACUCCUACACUGCAUGAGAUUCAGACUGGAUGGGGUGAGCAGCGACGAUUGAGAACAAUGGUGCGAGGCUCCGUGCCCCAGCUGCUGCUCAGUUGACAAAUUCCAUGACACAUGCCGGCGAUAAUAAACCUGAUUCUGCAGAUGCUGGAGAUCUUGAGUGACGCACGCACAGACAAACUGCUGAAGGAACUCAACCCUUCCUUGAUGGUGGCAAUGAGAAGAGGGCAUGUUUCUGGGUGAUGGGGCAGCCUUGGAAGGUGUUCUUGAUGUUGGGGAUGCUGUUGCCCAUGAAGGAGCUGGCUGCAUUUGCAACUUUCUGCAGCUUUUCCUGACCCUGUGCAGUGGCCCCUCAUACCAGACGGUGAUACAACCAGUCAGGGUGCUCUCCACAGUACAUCUGUAGAAAUCUGCUAAAGUCUUUAGUGACAAACCAAGUCUCUUCAAACUCCUAUUGAAAUGUAGACACUGGCAUGGACUCUUUGUAAUUGCAUCGGUAUUCCAGGAACUUGAAACUGCUCACCCUUUCCAGUUCUGAUUCCUUGAUGUCACCUGGUGUGUGUUCCCUUUCUGAAGUCACAAUCACUUCCUUGGUGUUGAGUGCAAAGUUGUUUUUGUAACUGUGUGUGUGUGUGUGUGUGAGUGUGUGUGUGUGUGUGAGAGAGAGAGUGUGUGUGUGUGAGAGUGUGUGUGAGUGUGUGUGUGUGUGUGUGUGUGAGUGUAUGUGUGUGUGUGAGAGAGAGUGUGUGUGUGUGUGAGAGAGUGUGUGUGUGAGAGAGUGUGUGUGUGUGAGAGAGUGUGUGUGUGAGAGAGUGUGUGUGUGAGUGUGAGUGUGUGUGUGUGAGUGUAUGUGUGUGAGUG